GGGGUCAUUAUCGCGACUGUUUUCAAUGGCUACACACGAGAUGUCCUGGAAAGGAGAAUUCCUGCUGUUUGCACUGAGUGAGCUUCUGGGUUCCUGGAGCAGGAGAAAGCCCUGCAUGAACUCAGCUAGAGCUGACUGAGAACAAUUUUGAUCAGCAUGAGACAUAAGGCUGACUUCACCCCGGAAGCCAGUCCAUGAAUGGGCAGUCCUCCCUUCCUACUCCUGCCACGUGAGCUGAAGACAAAACUGAAAGCUGACAACUAAAUGAGGUGACUUGGCUGACUACUGAGACCACAAAGGCUCCACAAUCCUUGGGGCAACCAUGUAUGCUAUUUAUUUUACAUGCAUGUCCACACACAGGGCUCUAUAUAUCUGCUGCUCAAAUGCAAGCCUAAGAUUCUUGUGGAAGCAGAAGAACAGGAGCACACCCAUGAUGAUAAUAGAAAGGUGGCCUCAAAUAAUUUCAAGCUGCUGCUUAAGUAAGAUUGGAAGCACAGAGCCCUGUCCUGGACUGUGAAUUGGGCUGGACACAUUGUAAACACUGAAAAAAUGGCAGUAUCCUCUAAAUCUUCACAAAGCAUGUACACUCAAUUAUGUACACAGUGAGUUCAGAAAGUUUAAAAGAACCUCUAAAGAGUGUACACAGGAUUUAAAUAGUCUCAGGAGCUGCUUUCCUGCUACAGGAGGAAUGUGAUGUUGGCAGAUGUCUGUGCAAGGUGUUGCCACUGUUUCUCUGGAAGGAGUCAGAGGCAUUGGGACAGACUCAGAGGCAACUAACCAUCACAUGCCUUGCUAACCCAUAGCCAUACUGCCAGGUGAAUCCAAGAGACUCAGGGCACAAGGUACCUACCGGCUCAGGGGUAAAGCGCUCCAUCUAAAGGAAGAUUUCUGACUGAAAAAUAUAUUUCAUUAUCUAAUGGUAGAUCAAUCCAUUUUGACACCCUCAG
This 947-nucleotide long non-coding RNA is filed under the name Cricetulus griseus (Chinese hamster). RNAcentral's name for it is "lncRNA (ENSCGRG00015038266.1)". Lineage: Eukaryota; Metazoa; Chordata; Mammalia; Rodentia; Cricetidae. The record is from RNAcentral.